RNAcentral lists this ribosomal RNA (492 nucleotides) under uncultured bacterium. RNAcentral describes it as "partial 16S ribosomal RNA". It matches the Rfam family "Bacterial small subunit ribosomal RNA", at positions 29 to 507 of the family's 1533-position model. The record is from RNAcentral.
AGUGAACGCUGGCGGUAGGCCUAACACAUGCAAGUCGAACGGCAGCACAGUAAGAGCUUGCUCUUACGGGUGGCGAGUGGCGGACGGGUGAGGAGUACAUCGGAAUCUACUUUUUCGUGGGGGAUAACGUAGGGAAACUUACGCUAAUACCGCAUACGACCUACGGGUGAAAGCAGGGGAUCUUCGGACCUUGCGCGAUUGAAUGAGCCGAUGUCGGAUUAGCUAGUUGGCGGGGUAAAGGCCCACCAAGGCGACGAUCCGUAGCUGGUCUGAGAGGAUGAUCAGCCACACUGGAACUGAGACACGGUCCAGACCCCUACGGGAGGCAGCAGUGGGGAAUAUUGGACAAUGGGCGCAAGCCUGAUCCAGCCAUACCGCGUGGGUGAAGAAGGCCUUCGGGUUGUAAAGCCCUUUUGUUGGGAAAGAAAAGCAGCAGGUUAAUACCCCGCUGUUCUGACGGUACCCAAAGAAUAAGCACCGGCUAACUUCGUG